This is a long non-coding RNA of Plectropomus leopardus (leopard coralgrouper), 314 nucleotides long. RefSeq lists it as uncharacterized. NCBI's taxonomy places the organism in Eukaryota, Metazoa, Chordata, Actinopteri, Perciformes, Serranidae. The record is from RefSeq and is a predicted model, not a curated record.
UCUAACAGCAGUGGAUGGGACUUCUCAAAACUAAAGGAAUCGUGAUGAGUAGUAAAACAACCCACAACUGAAAAUUCGCUCUCCUUCUAGCUACUGGGAGCUACUCUGUGGCCUGGAUGACUGAGCGCCUCCAUGGACCUACUGUUUAAGAAAUCACAUCAUAGUCCAAGAAAACAUUUGGUCCUCAUAUGCAGCCCACAUUCACUGCUCCUUGUACAGCGUGACUCUACACUCCACUGAUGCACUAGCAGUGGGAGCAGCAGCAACAACGCAGUACAGGAUGAGAGGGGGGACAAAGCUGGACUCCUCCGUGC